Molecule: ribosomal RNA, 442 nt
Filed under: uncultured bacterium
Lineage: Bacteria
Description: partial 16S ribosomal RNA
Rfam family: Bacterial small subunit ribosomal RNA
Source: RNAcentral
CCUACGGGUGGCAGCAGUGAGGAAUAUUGGUCAAUGGGCGCGAGCCUGAACCAGCCAAGUAGCGUGAAGGAAGAAGGCUUUCGGGUUGUAAACUUCUUUUGACAGGGAAGAGCAGAAGACGGUACCUGUCGUAUUAGCCAUGGCUAACUACGUGCCAGCAGCCGCGGUCAUACGUAGGUGGCAAGCGCUGUCCGGAUUUACUGGGUGUAAAGGGCGUGUAGCCGGGUUGACAAGUCAGAUGUGAAAUCCUGCGGCUUAACCGCAGAACUGCAGUUGAAACUGUUGAUCUGGAGUACUGGAGAGGCAGGCGGAAUUCCUGGUGUAGCGGUGAAAUGCGUAGAUAUUAGGAGGAACACCAGUGGCGAAGGCGGUCUGCUGGACAGCAACUGACGGUGAGGCGCGAAAGCGUGGGGAGCAAACAGGAUUAGAUACCCCUGUAGUC